This 429-nucleotide ribosomal RNA is filed under the name bacterium. Its description in RNAcentral is "partial 16S ribosomal RNA". It matches the Rfam family "Bacterial small subunit ribosomal RNA", at positions 355 to 776 of the family's 1533-position model. The record is from RNAcentral.
UAGGGAAUCUUCCACAAUGGACGCAAGUCUGAUGGAGCAACGCCGCGUGAGUGAAGAAGGUUUUCGGAUCGUAAAGCUCUGUUGUUGGUGAAGAAGGAUAGAGGUAGUAACUGGCCUUUAUUUGACGGUAAUCAACCAGAAAGUCACGGCUAACUACGUGCCAGCAGCCGCGGUAAUACGUAGGUGGCAAGCGUUGUCCGGAUUUAUUGGGCGUAAAGCGAGCGCAGGCGGAAGAAUAAGUCUGAUGUGAAAGCCCUCGGCUUAACCGAGGAACUGCAUCGGAACCUGUUUUUCUUGAGUGCAGAAGAGGAGAGUGGAAUUCCAUGUGUAGCGGUGGAAUGCGUAGAUAUAUGGAAGAACACCAGUGGCGAAGGCGACUCUCUGGUCUGCAACUGACGCUGAGGCUCGAAAGCAUGGGUAGCGAACAGG